RNAcentral lists this ribosomal RNA (2005 nucleotides) under wastewater metagenome. RNAcentral describes it as "bacterial LSU rRNA". It matches the Rfam family "Bacterial large subunit ribosomal RNA", at positions 555 to 2400 of the family's 2925-position model. The record is from RNAcentral.
ACCGUGUGCCUACAAGCGGUCAGAGCAGGCGUCAACUAUGGGAAGUCGAGAGGUCAAGAGGUCGAGAGGUUUACCUUCUCAUCUGUUAACCUGUUAACCGAUAGACCUGUCAAUUUUUCAUAGUUGACGCUUGUGAUGGCGUGCCUUUUGCAUAAUGAGCCAACGAGUUAAUGUUAUAAGCGAGGUUAAGUAUUACAGGUAUGGAGCCGUAGCGAAAGCGAGUCUGAAGAGGGCGUAAUAAGUUUAUGGCAUUAGACCCGAAACCAGGUGAUCUACCCAUGGUCAGGUUGAAGGUUGGGUAAAACCAACUGGAGGACCGCACCAACCGUCGUUGAAAAGGCGGUGGAGGAACUGUGGGUAGGGGUGAAAGGCCAAACAAACCUGGAGAUAGCUGGUUCUCUCCGAAACAUAUUUAGGUAUGGCCUCAGUGGAGAUUAUUGGAGGUAGAGCACUGAAUGGGCUAGGGGGCUUACACGCUUACUGAACCCAAUCAAACUCCGAAUGCCGAUAAUUGCUCACUGGGAGACAGGGCGCGGGCGAUAAGGUUCGCGUGCGAGAGGGGAACAACCCAGACUGUCAGCUAAGGCCCCGAAAUAGAUACUUAGUGCGUAAGGAUGUUCAAUUGCCCAGACAGCCAGGAUCUUGGCUUAGAAGCAGCCAUGAUUUAAAGAGUGCGUAACAGCUCACUGGUCGAGUGGUAGGGCACCGAAGAUAAUCGGGACUGAAGUAUCUUGCCGAAGCUGCGGACUUGCAUAUAGAUGUGAGUGGUAGGAGAGCAUUGUGAUUGCGCAGAAGGUGUAUUGUGAGAUAUGCUGGAGCGGUCACAAGAGACCAUGUUGGCAUGAGUAACGAUAAUGCGGGUGAGAAACCCGCACACCAUAAGCCCAAGGAUUCCUGAGUAAAGUUAAUCUUCUCAGGGUUAGUCGGUCCCUAAGGUAUAGCGAUAAGGCGAAGCUGAUGGGAAUCAGGUUAAUAAUCCUGAACCUGAGUAUUGAGUGAAGGAGUGACGCGACGGUGCUGCAAGGACAGCUGUUGGAAUAGCUGUUGAAUGCAGGUAGGAAGUGAGACAGGUAAAUCCGUUUCACAGAUAUUCCGAGAUGCAGGACGAGGCGUAAGCCGUAAAGCUUGUUUAGAGACGUUGCCGAGAAAUAGCUUCUAGCGUUAAUCAAUAUUCAGACCGUACCGCAAACCGACACAGGUGGGCGAGGAGAGUAUCCUAAGGUGUUCGAGCGAACUCUGGUUAAGGAACUAGGCAAAAUUACCCCGUAACUUCGGGAGAAGGGGUGCCCCGUUAUCGUGAUUAGUCAGCGCUAUGAGCGAGAGGGGGCCGCAGUGAAUAGGCCCAAGCGACUGUUUAUCAAAAACACAGGUCUAUGCGAAGGCGAAAGCCACGGUAUAUAGACUGACACCUGCCCGGUGCCGGAAGGUUAAGUGGAGAGGUCAGCCUGCACUAAUUUUAUCAUAAUGAAUGGCGUGAGCAGGAAUUUAGAUGAUGGUGAAAUUAGUGCAGGCGAAGCUUCGAAAUGAAGCCCCGGUAAACGGCGGCCGUAACUAUAACGGUCCUAAGGUAGCGAAAUUCCUUGUCGGGUAAGUUCCGACCUGCACGAAUGGUGUAACGAUUUGGGCGCUGUCUCAACCAGGGGCUCGGUGAAAUUGAAGUAGCGGUGAAGAUGCCGCUUACCCGCGAACGGACGGAAAGACCCCGUGAACCUUUACUGUAGCUUGGCAUUGUAAAUUGGUGCAGUAUGUGUAGGAUAGGUGGGAGGCUAUGAAGCGUGCACGCUAGUGUGCGUGGAGCCGACGUUGAAAUACCACCCUUAUUGUAUUGGUUUACUAACGAUUGUAAAGCGAUUGGACAUUGCCAGGUGGGCAGUUUGACUGGGGCGGUCGCCUCCGAAAGAGUAACGGAGGCUUACCAAGGUUCCCUCCGGCUGGUUGGUAAUCAGCCAUAGAGCGCAAAGGUAUAAGGGAGCUUAACUGCGAGACCGACGGGUCGAGCAGGUGG